RNAcentral lists this ribosomal RNA (253 nucleotides) under uncultured bacterium. Its description in RNAcentral is "partial 16S ribosomal RNA". It matches the Rfam family "Bacterial small subunit ribosomal RNA", at positions 524 to 776 of the family's 1533-position model. The record is from RNAcentral.
GACGAAGGAUGCAAGCGUUAUCCGGAUUCAUUGGGCUUAAAGCGUGCGUAGGCGGUCCUGUAAGUCAGUGGUGAAAGCUCUCAGCUUAACUGAGAAACUGCCAUUGAUACUGCAAGACUUGAGUACAGAUGAUGUUGGCGGAAUAUGACAUGUAGCGGUGAAAUGCAUAGAUAUGUCAUAGAACACCGAUUGCGAAGGCAGCUGACAAAACUGUAACUGACGCUGAGGCACGAAAGUGUGGGGAUCAAACAGG